RNAcentral lists this transfer-messenger RNA (357 nucleotides) under Dehalococcoidia. RNAcentral's name for it is "SHYF01 sp009692985 Standard tmRNA". It matches the Rfam family "transfer-messenger RNA". Rfam says of the family: Bacterial tmRNA, also known as 10Sa RNA or SsrA, is named for its dual tRNA and mRNA-like properties. Its role is to liberate the mRNA from a stalled ribosome. To accomplish this part of the tmRNA is used as a reading frame that ends in a translation stop signal. The record is from RNAcentral. RNAcentral also lists the same sequence under 1 other name. Lineage: Bacteria; Bacillati; Chloroflexota.
GGGGACGCGUGGUUUCGACAGAGGAUGGUUCGGCGGAAUUGCAGGCCGAGGUGCCGUCACACCUCGUAAAACAGGCGGCAAAAAAGUAACUCGCGAGCCACAACUCGCCCUAGCCGCCUAAAGCGGCUACGUUUGCCCUCGUCUCGCCCCGAGGACGUGGAGCAGGCGCAAUGAAUUCGGGGUGCGGUCUGCCCUAACGCCGAUGCGGGCAGGCCUAAGUGGUCCAUCGGCUGGCUGACAAGCCUCUUGGCCGGCGGUGAGGCGGGCCAGCGAGAAAAUAAGCGCCGGACAAGCCUGUAGCACAUUCCAGUCGAGCGUCUUUUGGACGGGGAGUUCAACUCUCCCCCGUCUCCACCA